RNAcentral lists this microRNA precursor (84 nucleotides) under Bombyx mori (domestic silkworm). Its description in RNAcentral is "mir-2807 microRNA precursor family". It matches the Rfam family "mir-2807 microRNA precursor family". The record is from Rfam by way of RNAcentral. Lineage: Eukaryota; Metazoa; Arthropoda; Insecta; Lepidoptera; Bombycidae.
UAAAAGUUAACUCAAAUGGAAUUGGAACGUUUGUUUACGUUUGCCGCUAGAGGCGCUGUUCCAACUGCAUACAAAUUUCAGUUA